AAAUUGAAGAGUUUGAUCAUGGCUCAGAUUGAACGCUGGCGGCAGGCCUAACACAUGCAAGUCGAACGGUAACAGGAAGCAGCUUGCUGCUUUGCUGACGAGUGGCGGACGGGUGAGUAAUGUCUGGGAAACUGCCUGAUGGAGGGGGAUAACUACUGGAAACGGUAGCUAAUACCGCAUAACGUCGCAAGACCAAAGAGGGGGACCUUCGGGCCUCUUGCCAUCGGAUGUGCCCAGAUGGGAUUAGCUA
RNAcentral lists this ribosomal RNA (250 nucleotides) under Escherichia coli. Its description in RNAcentral is "partial 16S ribosomal RNA". It matches the Rfam family "Bacterial small subunit ribosomal RNA", at positions 1 to 247 of the family's 1533-position model. The record is from RNAcentral. RNAcentral also lists the same sequence under 1 other name. Lineage: Bacteria; Pseudomonadati; Pseudomonadota; Gammaproteobacteria; Enterobacterales; Enterobacteriaceae.